Molecule: small nuclear RNA, 117 nt
Organism: Gorilla gorilla gorilla (western lowland gorilla)
Lineage: Eukaryota; Metazoa; Chordata; Mammalia; Primates; Hominidae
Gene: U4
Rfam family: U4 spliceosomal RNA
About the family: U4 small nuclear RNA (U4 snRNA) is a component of the major U2-dependent spliceosome. The structure of U4 snRNA from yeast and human has been reported. U4 snRNA presents a k-turn RNA motif in the 5p-SL related to recognition of Snu13 protein.
Source: Ensembl
AGCUUUGCACAGUGGCAGUAUUGUAGCCAGUGAGGUUUAUCCGAGGCACAAUUAUUGGCUAAUUAAACUAUCUCAGUGACCAAGGCUACCUAUAACUCAUAUAAACAAAGUGUUUUU